Molecule: long non-coding RNA, 123 nt
Organism: Ipomoea triloba (trilobed morning glory)
Lineage: Eukaryota; Viridiplantae; Streptophyta; Magnoliopsida; Solanales; Convolvulaceae
Exons: 2
Source: RefSeq, a predicted model, not a curated record
GUGUUGCGGCACUUCCCAAAGACAUUAUAAAAAUUUCUGCGGGUUAUCAUCAUUCUUGUGCUAUCACAGUUGAUGGUGAACUAUAUAUGUGGGGAAAGAACUCAAAUGGACAGCUUGGCCUCG